AAAAAGGGCCUUUGAUGCAAUGUCACCUAGUGUCUGUAAGGAUUCUGGGCGGAAUCGCUAGCAGGAGAUUUCGGAGGCAAAAUUUCUGUACAAUGUGGCAGCUGGUGCUCAUAUGGCCUGGCGCCCUU
Mya arenaria is the source of this 128-nucleotide small nuclear RNA. RefSeq annotates it as U11 spliceosomal RNA. Lineage: Eukaryota; Metazoa; Mollusca; Bivalvia; Myida; Myidae. The record is from RefSeq and is a predicted model, not a curated record. The transcript has a single exon.